GGCAGCUGUCCCUGGCAUGAGGUUUGCUCCCCGACAAGCCCAUGUGAGCACUGGUGGGACUCCAGGCUGUGGAUCCUGUACUGUGUGGGCUAGGUGGAUGACUCACAAAAGCCAGGAUUGUGCCCUGCCAGCAAGCAGCAAAGAGGCAGCUGAUGCCGGCCGGCCGGCUGCCAAGCAGGUCAGGCCUCUGCAGCUGAAACUGCCCGAGAUUCCUAAGCGGGAUGAUGAAUCAGCUGUGUCCUUUAGGACACAUCCUCUCUUGGACAUGUUGCCGGGAUGUCGUGUCUCCCCGCUGCUUCCCCGUGAGAGUGUGCUCGGAGCUGCUGGUUGAUGACACUGGCCGGGUUGAUGAGUUUGCUUUAACUCUUCCUCCUCCCCCUCAUAAACCAGCUUUGCCUCCUGGUGAAGUUAUUGCCCCUUAAGCUGACGAUAGCAGCCCUAGAUGUCUCAGUGGAGGAGGAGUGCCAGGCUCUGAAAGAAAUGAUGCCUUGCUUGUCAUUUGCCUGCUUUUAAAAGUAUAUUAAGACAGCUUUGGCUUGAGUGCCCUGCAGGCAGGAAUUCUGAGCCAGGACAGGCUGGUUUUCACGGUGUCCAUCCCUGUUUCCAAAAAAAAGCCUUGACUCAGGGUUGCUGAGUGCAACUGCUGCAACUGGAGGCUGCUGUACCCAGGCUGCCUCGUGCCUGAUGACUCUCACAGCACAAUAGAUUUUCUUUUUCGAACCUUUAAAAGUUCUUGGGUGUGUUUACAGUUCAAUGCUUGUUCAUCCCUGAGGAGAUUUUGCUGGCUAAAGUCCUCCAAAUGUGGAGGGCUGUCCUGUCACUGUUAAGCACAGGGUAGCUGAAACAAGGUAAUGGUUAUCAGGGAUUGGGGAUGGUGAUUAAGAAGCUGACUAUUGUAUUUAUUACCAUCUCCUCCCACAAGCUCCUGCCUUGCUUGUUUGCCUUCUGAGGCCCGACUGUGCUGCUGUUUAUUGGGAGAGCACUGCUCUUUUCCAAGAUGUUUCGUUUUAAAACCCUCAGAAUGUCCCCAGGGCGUUUGAAAGGGGAUGUGCUGUGUCACGAAAGACAGUGUUCCACAUGGAAGGAUUUUUUUCCCCAAGUGACAGGCUGGUUGAGCUGUAAACAUGCAAAGGAGGAUCACCAUUACAAAUGUGAGAGAGAGCAGAGAAGAGCUGACCCCAGCUCAGGCAAAGAAACAAGAGAGUGUCUGGACUUCCCCAAAUGCAGCGUGGGAAGCCUGGCAGCGCAUGGGACAGAACUCCUCUCAACACUGUCAGGCCACUUGCUCCUCAAAUUCCCCUUCAGGAAGUGGGAUGGUGAGAGGAGAAGAGACUUGGUGCUUCCCAUCCCUGCUGUUGAAUGGAGCCAGGCUUUCUUUGGACUGCAAGUAAAUUCACUGGGCCAGAUGCUCAGGCCAAGCCCCAGGGCUGCUUGUUCCUAG
Molecule: long non-coding RNA, 1441 nt
Filed under: Parus major (Great Tit)
Lineage: Eukaryota; Metazoa; Chordata; Aves; Passeriformes; Paridae
Description: lncRNA (ENSPMJG00000018343.1)
Source: RNAcentral